UCUUUUUUGAGGUAUAGCUGCAGCAAUAGCCUAUAGACUUAUGUUUACAUUAAGCUUACUGUAUAUUAUCGUGAGGACUGGAUAGAUUACCACGGAGCAGAGCCAAAGCUCAUUGUUAUAUAUUUUAGGAUUUUUCUACAUGAAAAUGUUUAAUUGUGUUAUUUUGUUGGUAAUGUUCAGUGUAAGAAAUGUGAAUAUAAGUGUAACAUCCUCAGAGACGGCACCUAAGUCCUAUACAUUUUAAAUCCUGCAGACAAUUCGUAGUGGAGUGGAGGUGGUGACCCUCAGCCCACGUGUCAGUGUCUUCAAGGAGAGAUGGCCUGGUUUAUUCAAUGAGGCUCAGAUCAAGGAGGAGUUCCGACACAUAACAACUCUUUCACUGGAAGAGACUUUGAUGCUGAAACUGGAUGGGUCCACUAACACCACUCGCUCCAGCUGAUGCGUGCCAAAGAGGAGAUGCUGGCUCCAGGAUGCGCCCUCUUCUGAGCACAAUUGAUGAGGCCCAGAGUGUUGGGAAAAGAGAUGCAGUGGCCAGGUGCCUGAUUGAAGACCUUGGGGAACGCCAAGAAGACCUUUUUCAAGACAGCCAGGACGAGCAUGACAACGUCGUGGACCAAACUAUGAAGGUGCUUGUGAUCCAUGAUGCCAGGGACGGGACCAGCAGAUGUGUCCAUUGUCAUAGAGGGAGACAGAGUUUUGUGCGGAAACCAAACAAAGGCAUGUGCAUUGUUGAUGGGAUUCAUCUCUACACCCUCAACCUGGAAUACCCCAACAAGCUCAAAUACACAUUUGAGGUAUUCUAAGAACAGUAUUUGGAGCUUGAUGGAGCCAAGCUGCUCAAAAAGGUCCAGAGCCACAAAUAAACAAUUUGUUCUCAAGUGGAUGUUGACUUGUUUUAGUGCCGAGUGACACAAACACAAAAUAAUGUGAUGUUGAAUGUAAUGGAUGUGGAGAAACCUUGUUCUGUUAAAAGUGGACUGUUUACUGGCACUCAAAGGUUUUAAUAGUUGAGUAAAUUGCACUUGGAAGAUUAUGUUAAACAUGUUUACAAUUCCCACUUUACUGUUAAAACAAUGUGAUUGUGACUAUUUUGAAGAUUCUGCUCAGUGUUAUCAAUUGAAAUGCAUUUAACUGUUUAAAUAAUCUCAAUGUAUGGCCAUAUUGCACUUAUACAUUUGGUCAAUUA
Molecule: long non-coding RNA, 1186 nt
Organism: Gymnodraco acuticeps
Lineage: Eukaryota; Metazoa; Chordata; Actinopteri; Perciformes; Bathydraconidae
Exons: 4
Source: RefSeq, a predicted model, not a curated record